Molecule: ribosomal RNA, 254 nt
Filed under: uncultured bacterium
Lineage: Bacteria
Description: partial 16S ribosomal RNA
Rfam family: Bacterial small subunit ribosomal RNA
Source: RNAcentral
UACAGAGGGUGCGAGCGUUAAUCGGAAUUACUGGGCGUAAAGGGCGCGUAGGCGGCCACCGCAAGUCGACUGUGAAAUCUCCGGGCUUAACCCGGAAAGGUCAGCCGAUACUGCGGGGCUAGAGUGCAGAAGGGGCAACUGGAAUUCUCGGUGUAGCGGUGAAAUGCGUAGAUAUCGAGAGGAACACCUGCGGCGAAGGCGGGUUGCUGGGCUAACACUGACGCUGAUGCGCGAAAGCUAGGGGAGCGAACGGG